RNAcentral lists this ribosomal RNA (467 nucleotides) under uncultured bacterium. RNAcentral's name for it is "partial 16S ribosomal RNA". It matches the Rfam family "Bacterial small subunit ribosomal RNA", at positions 28 to 506 of the family's 1533-position model. The record is from RNAcentral.
GACGAACGCUGGCGGCGUGCUUAACACAUGCAAGUCGAACGGAAAGGCCCUGCUUUUGUGGGGUGCUCGAGUGGCGAACGGGUGAGUAACACGUGAGUAACCUGCCCUUGACUUUGGGAUAACUUCAGGAAACUGGGGCUAAUACCGGAUAGGAGCUCCUGCUGCAUGGUGGGGGUUGGAAAGUUUCGGCGGUUGGGGAUGGACUCGCGGCUUAUCAGCUUGUUGGUGGGGUAGUGGCUUACCAAGGCUUUGACGGGUAGCCGGCCUGAGAGGGUGACCGGCCACAUUGGGAAUGAGAUACGGCCCAGACUCCUACGGGAGGCAGCAGUGGGGAAUAUUGCACAAUGGGCGGAAGCCUGAUGCAGCAACGCCGCGUGCGGGAUGACGGCCUUCGGGUUGUAAACCGCUUUCGCCUGUGACGAAGCGUGAGUGACGGGAAUGGGUAAAGAAACACCGGCGAACUACGU